Molecule: long non-coding RNA, 403 nt
Filed under: Papio anubis (olive baboon)
Lineage: Eukaryota; Metazoa; Chordata; Mammalia; Primates; Cercopithecidae
Description: lncRNA (ENSPANG00000044806.1)
Source: RNAcentral
ACAGAGUUGACAGUUCUUUUCCAAUGUGAACGCUAACAGGCCCAAGACCCAGGAUGAACCAGUGUUUCCGUUUGAACCCAAAAGCAGUCAAGCAAGAGGAAUUUUCUCUUACUAGUUGGUGGGUCUCUCAGCCGUGGAUACCAGCACCUGCUCCAGUGGAGUUAGCAAGAAAAUGAAGUGGACUCUGUGAGGAACCUUACUUGUGUUUUUGACAUCCUGUGCGCUCUCAACUCCAAAUUCUCUCUGCUCAAGUCAUCAAGACUACUGGGGUCAAACUGAACUUUCCCUCUCUUCUCUGUGACCAGGAAAUUCACUACAGGUAGGAAACUCGACAGUCAUAGGAUUACCUUUAUUUGUUUCUGUUUUCACAGGGAUUCCUGGCAUCACUACCAAUUAAUUAAAG